Molecule: ribosomal RNA, 498 nt
Filed under: Veillonella parvula
Lineage: Bacteria; Bacillati; Bacillota; Negativicutes; Veillonellales; Veillonellaceae
Description: bacterial SSU rRNA
Rfam family: Bacterial small subunit ribosomal RNA
Source: RNAcentral
GACGAACGCUGGCGGCGUGCUUAACACAUGCAAGUCGAACGAAGAGCGACGGAAGCUUGCUUCUAUCAAUCUUAGUGGCGAACGGGUGAGUAACGCGUAAUCAACCUGCCCUUCAGAGGGGGACAACAGUUGGAAACGACUGCUAAUACCGCAUACGAUCUAAUCUCGGCAUCGAGGAUAGAUGAAAGGUGGCCUCUACAUGUAAGCUAUCACUGAAGGAGGGGAUUGCGUCUGAUUAGCUAGUUGGAGGGGUAACGGCCCACCAAGGCGAUGAUCAGUAGCCGGUCUGAGAGGAUGAACGGCCACAUUGGGACUGAGACACGGCCCAGACUCCUACGGGAGGCAGCAGUGGGGAAUCUUCCGCAAUGGACGAAAGUCUGACGGAGCAACGCCGCGUGAGUGAUGACGGCCUUCGGGUUGUAAAGUUCUGUUAAUCGGGACGAAAGGCCUUCUUGCGAAUAGUGAGAAGGAUUGACGGUACCGGAAUAGAAAGCCACG